RNAcentral lists this ribosomal RNA (491 nucleotides) under uncultured bacterium. RNAcentral describes it as "partial 16S ribosomal RNA". It matches the Rfam family "Bacterial small subunit ribosomal RNA", at positions 29 to 507 of the family's 1533-position model. The record is from RNAcentral.
AGUGAACGCUGGCGGUAGGCCUAACACAUGCAAGUCGAACGGCAGCACAGUAAGAGCUUGCUCUUACGGGUGGCGAGUGGCGGACGGGUGAGGAAUACAUCGGAAUCUACUUUUUCGUGGGGGAUAACGUAGGAAACCUACGCCAAUACCGCAUACGACCUACGGGUGAAAGCAGGGGAUCUUUGGACCUUGCGCGAUUGAAUGAGCCGAUGUCGGAUUAGCUAGUUGGCGGGGUAAAGGCCCACCAAGGCGACGAUCCGUAGCUGGUCUGAGAGGAUGAUCAGCCACACUGGAACUGAGACACGGUCCAGACUCCUACGGGAGGCAGCAGUGGGGAAUAUUGGACAAUGGGCGCAAGCCUGAUCCAGCCAUACCGCGUGGGUGAAGAAGGCCUUCGGGUUGUAAAGCCCUUUUGUUGGGAAAGAAAAGCAGCAGGUUAAUACCCCGCUGUUCUGACGGUACCCAAAGAAUAAGCACCGGCUAACUUCGUG